RNAcentral lists this unclassified non-coding RNA (520 nucleotides) under uncultured Diversispora. RNAcentral's name for it is "SSU rRNA". It matches the Rfam family "Eukaryotic small subunit ribosomal RNA", at positions 569 to 1091 of the family's 1831-position model. The record is from RNAcentral. Lineage: Eukaryota; Fungi; Glomeromycota; Glomeromycetes; Diversisporales; Diversisporaceae. RNAcentral also lists the same sequence under 1 other name.
AGCAGCCGCGGUAAUUCCAGCUCCAAUAGCGUAUAUUAAAGUUGUUGCAGUUAAAAAGCUCGUAGUUGAAUUUCGGGAUCAAAGAAUCGGUCAUGCCUUGGUAUGUACUGGUUUUAUUGGUUCUCACCUUCUAAAGAACCAUGAUGUCAUUCAUUUGAUGUUAUGGGGAAUUAGGACUGUUACCUUGAAAAAAUUAGAGUGUUUAAAGCAAGCUUACGCUUGAAUACAUUAGCAUGGAAUAAUGAAAUAGGACAUCAGAUUCUAUUUUGUUGGUUUCUAGGAUCGAUGUAAUGAUUAAUAGGGAUAGUUGGGGGCAUUAGUAUUCAAUUGUCAGAGGUGAAAUUCUUGGAUUUAUUGAAGACUAACUACUGCGAAAGCAUUUGCCAAGGAUGUUUUCAUUAAUCAAGAACGAAAGUUAGGGGAUCGAAGACGAUCAGAUACCGUCGUAGUCUUAACCAUAAACUAUGCCGACUAGGAAUCAGACGAUGUUAAUUUUUUAAUGACUCGUUUGGCACCUUAC